AAGUCGUAACAAGGUCUCCGUUGGUGAACCAGCGGAGGGAUCAUUACAGAGUUGCAAAACUCCCAACCAUUGUGAACCUACCUCACCGUUGCUUCGGCGGGUGGCCCGGGGCAACCCAGGCCGCGCCGGCACCCUUCUUCGGGGGGCCCGGCAAGCCCGUCAGAGGAUCGAAACCCUGUAAUUACUGGCCUCUCUGAGUAACUUAUACAAUAAGUCAAAACUUUCAACAACGGAUCUCUUGGUUCUG
RNAcentral lists this unclassified non-coding RNA (247 nucleotides) under fungal sp. RNAcentral's name for it is "partial internal transcribed spacer region". The stretch from base 1 to 46 matches the Rfam family "Eukaryotic small subunit ribosomal RNA", at positions 1786 to 1831 of the family's 1831-position model. The record is from RNAcentral. Lineage: Eukaryota; Fungi.